RNAcentral lists this ribosomal RNA (99 nucleotides) under Oleiphilus sp. HI0043. RNAcentral describes it as "partial 23S ribosomal RNA". The stretch from base 1 to 87 matches the Rfam family "Bacterial large subunit ribosomal RNA", at positions 2839 to 2925 of the family's 2925-position model. The record is from RNAcentral. RNAcentral also lists the same sequence under 2 other names. Lineage: Bacteria; Pseudomonadati; Pseudomonadota; Gammaproteobacteria; Oceanospirillales; Oleiphilaceae.
UAAAGACUAUGACGUUGAUAGGCUGGGUGUGUAAGUGCGGUAACGUAUUGAGCUAACCAGUACUAAUUGCUCGUGAGGCUUAACUAUAUAACGCCCAAG